RNAcentral lists this long non-coding RNA (278 nucleotides) under Setaria viridis. RNAcentral describes it as "long non-coding RNA (SVIR_LNC000649)". The record is from RNAcentral. Lineage: Eukaryota; Viridiplantae; Streptophyta; Magnoliopsida; Poales; Poaceae.
UAAUCUUUAUCAAUAGAGAGCAUAUAAAGCUUGCCUUGUAACUGACCAAGACCAACACUUAUAUUAUGAAACUUAAUAUAACACUUACUGUUGCCAAACUCAAUAAUAUCUCCUAAAUUAUCUAAUGCUAAAACUAAAAUAAGGUUUCUCUUUAAAUUAGGAACAUAAAGAACAUCAUCUAAUUGAAGAUUGAAGCCACUUGGUAGCUCUAAUGCGAAGUUUCCAACACCUUCGACUUCAACUUCAUUGCCAUCAACAACUCUAAGAUUUUGCUCCCC